This 468-nucleotide ribosomal RNA is filed under the name uncultured bacterium. RNAcentral describes it as "partial 16S ribosomal RNA". It matches the Rfam family "Bacterial small subunit ribosomal RNA", at positions 28 to 507 of the family's 1533-position model. The record is from RNAcentral.
GACGAACGCUGGCGGCGUGCUUAACACAUGCAAGUCGAACGGAAAGGCCCUGCUUUUGUGGGGUGCUCGAGUGGCGAACGGGUGUGUAACACGUGAGUAACCUGCCCUUGACUUUGGGAUAUCUUCAGGAAACUGGGGCUAAUACCGGAUAGGAGCUCCUGCUGCAUGGUGGGGGUUGGAAAGUUUCGGCGGUUGGGGAUGGACUCGCGGCUUAUCAGCUUGUUGGUGGGGUAGUGGCUUACCAAGGCUUUGACGGGUAGCCGGCCUGGGAGGGUGACCGGCCACAUUGGGACUGAGAUACGGCCCAGACGCCUACGGGAGGCAGCAGUGGGAAAUAUUGCACAAUGGGCGGAAGCCUGAUGCAGCAACGCUGCGUGCGGGAUGACGGCCUUCGGGGUGUAAACCGCUUUCGCCUGUGACGAAGCGUGAGUGACGGUAAUGGGUAAAGAAGCACCGGCUAACUACGUG